RNAcentral lists this ribosomal RNA (851 nucleotides) under uncultured bacterium. Its description in RNAcentral is "bacterial SSU rRNA". It matches the Rfam family "Bacterial small subunit ribosomal RNA", at positions 21 to 861 of the family's 1533-position model. The record is from RNAcentral.
GGCUCAGAAUGAACGCGGGCGGCGUGCCUAACACAUGCAAGUCGGAUGUGCCCGCAAGGGUGCAUGGCAGACGGGUGAGUAACACGUGGGGAACCUACCUCUUUGUGGGGAAUAACGCUCCGAAAGGAGUGGUAAUACCGCAUGAGACCAAUGGCUGGGAUGCUGUUGGUGAAACCUCGGGACCGCAAGGCCGGGGGCAAGGAGAGGGUCCUGCGUCUGAUUACCUAGUUGGCGGGGUAACGGCCCACCAUGGCGACGAUCAGUAGCCGGCCUGAGAGGGUGAUCGGCCACGCUGGAACUGAGACACGGUCCAGACUCCUACGGGAGGCAGCAGUGGGGAAUUUUGCGCAAUGGGCGAAAGCCUGACGCAGCAACGCCGCGUGGGUGAUGAAGGUCUUUGGAUUGUAAAACCCUGUCGUCGGGGACGAAGGUGGGGGCGUUAACAGCGCCUUCGCUUGACGGUACCCGGAGAGGAAGCCCCGGCUAACUCUAUGCCAGCAGCCGCGGUAAUAUCAGAGGGGGCAAGCGUUAUUCGGAAUUAUUGGGCGUAAAGGGCGCGUAGGCCGCUUUUUAAGUCAGAUGUGUAAUCCCCGAGCUCAACUUGGGAACUGCAUUUGAGAUUGGAAGGCUAGAAUGCCGGAGAGGGUGGUGGAAUUCCUCGUGUAGCGGUGAAAUGCGUAGAGAUGAGGAGGAACACCAGUGGCGAAGGCGGCCACCUGGACAGUAAUUGACGGUGAGGCGCGAAAGUGUGGGUAGCAAACAGGAUUAGAUACCCUGGUAUGUCCACACUGUAAACGAUGAACACUUGGUGUGUCGGGAGUUGACCCCCGACGUGCCGGAGCUAACGCGUU